Hydra vulgaris (swiftwater hydra) is the source of this 240-nucleotide non-coding RNA. The record is from RefSeq and is a predicted model, not a curated record. NCBI's taxonomy places the organism in Eukaryota, Metazoa, Cnidaria, Hydrozoa, Anthoathecata, Hydridae.
UACUUAAAAAUCUAUUCAGAUAAUUACAAUAUAAUACCAAAUAUUCUAAAUUGAAAACACACGAUGUUAUCACCACAUUCGACUGUGUAACUGGAAAUGGAGGAAAACAUUAUUUUUGAGAAAUAAAAUUUAAUUUUCUUUGCAACAGGCAAAGAAAAUACCAAAGAAAAAAAAAUUUAAAAACAUUUACACGUUUAGUUCAAUGUUACCCGCAAAUUCAAAGUUACCCAGAAUGACUGU